UCUCUCCCAUUCCUUUAUUUAUCAUUCCCCUCUCUCCCAAUCUUUCUCCUCACACUACUACUACUCCUUCUCUCUCUCUCUCUAUGUUCAUCUCUCUCUCUCUCUCAUUCACACCCCCUCUCCCCUCCAAACCCUAAUUCUCAUCCAUUGGAGUUGAGCACAAGAUGGGAAGCUUACUUUUUGAGAGGAAUGUUGUUUGGCUCGAGGCCAUGACAAGAUCCAUCCUCACAUAUAUGCAUCUUUUUGCAUAAAUUUAUAUCGAAUAUUACUUUUAUAAUAUGUCGGUAUUUCCAUGGAUCAUAUGUUAGGCGUCGGACCAGGCUUCAUUCCCCCCAAUUUCUUGCUUCAAUUCCUUGCAAUACAAUUUCAGCCCUUUGUCGGUCGUCGGCUACGCUGAUUGGUGUAAUGAUUAUGAAAGUUGACUUGAGCUUUCAAAGAAGAAAGGAGCAUAUAUGUACCCUCUGCACCCCUACUACUAGAAAUAUUUCUUCAUCAUUACUCUAUCUAUUUUUCUUUUCUAACUGAUGUAAAAUGGUUUUUUGUUUUGUUUGUUAACUUUUAAUUCCUUUGUCGGUUUACUAGUAUGUAUGAGCUCCAUCAUCAUAUUAUGAUGAUUACUGCCAUCAUGGCCUAAAAAAUCUGCUCUCUUUUUCUGCUUUC
Molecule: long non-coding RNA, 660 nt
Organism: Salvia miltiorrhiza (redroot sage)
Lineage: Eukaryota; Viridiplantae; Streptophyta; Magnoliopsida; Lamiales; Lamiaceae
Exons: 2
Source: RefSeq, a predicted model, not a curated record